Non-coding RNA from Cyanistes caeruleus (blue tit), 3316 nucleotides. The record is from RefSeq and is a predicted model, not a curated record. Lineage: Eukaryota; Metazoa; Chordata; Aves; Passeriformes; Paridae.
UGGGGUUUAUUAUUAUUAUUUAUUCCCCCAUUUUACCCCGCGGUUCACGAAGCUUCUGGUGCCGGCUUAGGGAUUUAAUUUUUUUGGGGAGGACGGGGGGGGUCCCUCAGGGUCUGGCUCAGCAGACCCAGGGGUGGGUGAAGGGCAUCAGGGCCCGAGCCCGUCUCCCAAGAGGUUUAUGUAACCUUCCAGGUUUGGUCAGGCUUUAUUACUUUUUAUUUUUCCCCUUCUUCCUUCAUAGAUCUGUUUAUAUUUUUCCUCCUUGUUUUUAUUCCUGGCCCUUUACGGGGCGGUGAAUCCCUUUUUUCUCUCUGUCUGGAGAGUGGGUGGCGUUGAAAAAUACCAUUGGGAAUUCGGUUCUGGGAUUGUUUUAUUAAUAGUUUUUGUUUACAAGGUGGCGGUGUGAGCCGGGAAAGGGUAGGAAUGACAAGAGUGGAUGAAAUGUUUCUCGGAUCUAUCGCCUGAACGUGCCCGACCUCCCUCAGCAGAACUCGGGGCUGGUGGCUCUGCCGUGCUGGUGUCGAGGGGUCGAGAAACGGGUCUGAUUUAGUUCCCAGAGAGAGAUAAACAAACUUAUCUGGAUUUGGUGGUGUUUUUUUGGAAGGGGUGGGGGGAGGGAGGAGCAGCAGCAGCGCUCCUGUUUGUGGCUUAUCGAAGGAAACUUGUGUCUGACGUUUCGCGCAGCGCCUUUCUCCCCACAAAAGCUGCUCUCGGUGUAUUUUUCGCCCUGUUUUUAAGCAAAUAGGAAAUGAGUCCUGAUGGUGCUCGAAUCGGAGCUAUUUUUAUCCGGGGGUUUAAAGUUACACACAUGUCAGACUCCGCCAAUUGCGAUCGAUGCUUAAUCGCACCGGGAGGAGGGUCGGGAAUUCCAGCUGUUUAGUGAGGGAGGGGGAAAACCUUUCUUAGGGAUACCCUGGAAAGAGCUGUGGGCCAGAGAGGGGCCGAGGCCCAACCUGAUCGGCUGCUGCUCUGUUUCCUUUUCCCCUCCCCCUCUCUUUUCCUUUUUUUCUUUUUUUUUUUUCUCCCCUUUUUUUGUUCGGUUCCUUGCCGGCUUCUCCAGCGAUCGCAGCAUUUUUUUGGAGGACAAAGAGCAGGUUUUCCCUGCGAAGUGGCUUUGCUGUGUGUUUCUAGGAGCUGGGCUGUGUCGGUGUUGAAUUGAGGGAAGCAGUGGAAAUAAGGAAGCUGAAUGAUCAGUGCUUUGUUUGACAUCGUUGGUAACUUAAUACUCCUGGCUCAGGGGGAGGAAUCCGUGCCUGGAGAUUGGAGAAAGCUCAGAUCCCAACAGGAGAAUGUGCUUUGAGAAGGGCUUGGUUGAAAAUUUGGGAUGUCAGAAAUCAGAUCCCGGUAAGUCAAGAGCCAGAGCCUGUGUGUUCCUUGAAAGGGAAGGUAUGUGAGGAGGUGUUAACUCACCCUGCUCUCACUGGAGCUGCUUUUUUAAACUCCUCUAAAGCUCCAGGGUCUCGGAUUUAAACUGAUUUUUGUCAGCUGCACCUUGCUCAGAAUCCACCGGUUUUAUCCCUUCGUGGUUUGUUUAGCCAUAAAAAAAUCAUUUUAGACUCUGGCCUGCUUUGGAGCAAAAAAUUCCCCAGAAAAUAACCUGAAAACUGGGAAGAGGAGGCAAAACCAGCGUGUUUUGUACAUGGAGAAAACCCAGAGCCCGAGUUUGGCAGGACUGAGGAAAUAUUCCCACUUGGUUUUAGCAAAUCAGUGAAACUCUGAACCCUGCUUGGGUCACUGCUGGAACUAAAAUCGAGACUUGAGCCUUGCCAGAUGAAAUUAAAGAUCCCCUAAAAUUGAGCUGAUGAGCAAUAGUGCCCCUAAUGGAUCCUUUUCAUCCCCUAUUUUGUGUUUGAGGGUUUGCCACAGCUUUGUUUUUCCUGUGAAAUCAGGAAAUUUGUUGACCCUGUGUUUAAACCAGGUGCCCAUGCUGGUGCUAAAGUGAAUUUUAGACAUUUUGGGAGUAGUUUGGGGAGGAGAAGGGUGUGUUUGGCUCUUCUGGUGUGUCCCAGAUGCUGCUCUCCCUGACCUGCAUCAUAAUUCCUGCAGCUCCUGUGCUCCCAAGCUUUUUAAAUGUCAGUUCUCUGGGAAAAAAAAAAUCAGAAUUUUUCCUCAUUUCAGCAGGAUUUCUUGAAAAAUACUGAGGGGUAACAAAAGAUUUGCUGGUUUCACCUGUUUAAAUGUAGCAAGAAAUGGGUUUGUGGGGUUUGUGCAGGGAUUCUGGUGCUGCUGCUGCCUCUUCUCAACUCUGCAUUUGGUUCUGGGGCUUUUUUCCCUGUCAGUUUUUCUUGGAUAAGUGGGAAUUGUGUGUGAGAAAAGUUUAUAACACAACAAACGUGGUCUAUGGAAAAUGUGGGAAUCAGAUGAUCUUUAAUGGUCCCUUCCACCCCAAAAUUCCACAAUAACUGGCUGCUCAGAGUCUGAACCAGCAUCUCUGUCUCGUUAGAGGCAAAUAUUGUGCUGAUAAACGUUGAAUUUGCUGUAAUUUGUUUCUUUUUGGACUUUUAUCUUUUUGCAGGGGCUUCCUGCUCAGUUUGGCUGAGAUGUAACAGAGUUCUGCAGGUUCAGGAGAUGCGUUAAUGAGGUUUUUUUAAAGAGUUUUGGAAUUUUUUUUAGCUUCUCAGUAGCCACUGAGCUCUUUAAAUUGUCCUCUGUGGCUCUUGGUGCCUUCCAGAGUCACAGAUUUCUCUGUAGCCACCCCAAAUUCGGUGCCAUUCUGGCAUUUCAGGAUAUUCUGUGUUUCUCUUGCCAGUUUUCUCCAGACUUGGGAGGUGAAACCUGGGAUAGCUGAACUCCACAAUCCUCUUUAAUAAUCCAGAUUUUAUUUCCAGGGGCAGCUGGGAAUCUGCUGCUGAGCAUCCCAGCAAAAAGUAGACGGGGCUUUGAUAUUCUUUUACAAAAGUGCUUCAAACAGCAAAAUAAACCCUGAAAGAGGGUGGAGAACAUUCCCCUAAUUCUCUCAGGAGAUAGGGUGGAUCAGAAGCAGGAUCCACUUGGCUCAGGCCUGUCCUGUGGGUCCAAAUUUCCCAUUUUGGGUCUCCUGGAGCCUCCCAGGAGGCAGCAGGACUUUGCCACGUGCACAUCUUUCUCUCAGGCGUCACAGAAACCCACAUCAGCUGCUUUUUAGGUCAUUACCAGACUGAACUAAAUAUAGCCUGUGAGCCAGAAGUGGGAGGUUUUGUAUCCAAAUUCCUGCCCCAUCCCUAUUUCUGGAGCAUCUGUGCCCCACAGCCUCUGCUGGAAUUCCCAUUUCCUUUUAAUCCCAGCGGGCAGGGACGAGGCUGAGCUUGGCUUGGGAAGUUCCUGGAAUUGCAGGGAA